GAUAAACGCUGGCGGCGUGCCUAACACAUGCAAGUCGAACGGCAGCACGGGUGCUUGCACCUGGUGGCGAGUGGCGAACGGGUGAGUAAUGCAUCGGAACGUGCCUAUUAGUGGGGGAUAACGCUUCGAAAGGAGUGCUAAUACCGCAUAAUCUCUGAGGAGGAAAGCAGGGGACCUUCGGGCCUUGCGCUGAUAGAGCGGCCGAUGUCGGAUUAGCUAGUUGGUGAGGUAAAGGCUCACCAAGGCGACGAUCCGUAGCGGGUCUGAGAGGAUGAUCCGCCACACUGGGACUGAGACACGGCCCAGACUCCUACGGGAGGCAGCAGUGGGGAAUUUUGGACAAUGGGCGCAAGCCUGAUCCAGCCAUGCCGCGUGAGUGAAGAAGGCC
RNAcentral lists this ribosomal RNA (388 nucleotides) under uncultured bacterium. Its description in RNAcentral is "bacterial SSU rRNA". It matches the Rfam family "Bacterial small subunit ribosomal RNA", at positions 28 to 416 of the family's 1533-position model. The record is from RNAcentral.